UGGGUUUGUUGGCUCAGGAACCCAAUCUGCAUGAUCUUGUUUAUAGCCAGCUACAAACAUUUUGCAGCGUUUUACUAAACGUUUGUGAAGUGUUGUCAUAUAAAACAUCUCUUAUGAUACUUACAGAAGUCCCGAGGUAGACAGAAGACUUACCUAGUAUACUCUUUUUAUGGACAAGAAAACGGAGAAAGUUUAAAGAGACUUGACCCAGCUUAACAAAAGGUCUGAUGGAAGGCUUUCUCAUUUCACAGCUGACAGCACUGGAGACAGAGCAGGAUCACAGAAGAAGAAAAUAAUGUACUUAGCACCUUGUGCUUAUUAGUUUGUGAUACUAUAUCGCUAACUGGAAAUUCUAUUAAGCCAUUCCCACCAAUUGCUUCUGGAUUAUAGAAUUAAUUGGAUAUGAAUUGCUAAUAAGCAUCUGAGUUUACCCUCUCUUUUCACUCUACCAUAUGUCAAAUUAAUCCAUUCUUUUUCCACAGACUCUAAGAUGGCCCCCAGUGGUCCUCACCUCUUGGUAUUCUCACCCUUGUGUAAGUCCCUCCCGAGAGUGAGCAGGACCUAGAACUUGCUUCUAAUCAAUAAAAUGCAACAAAACUGAUAGAUAUCACUUCUAUGAUUAUAUUACACAACAUGGUAUAUCUGUCUUGCUAGGAGACCCUCAACUGGCUCUGAGAAAGCAAGCUAUCAUCUUGUGAAAUGCCCUGUGGAAAAGCCCAUGUAGCAAAGGACAGCCAAUAGCCAACAGAAAGCUGAUGCCCUCAGUCCAACAGCCUGCAAGAAACUGAAUUCUGCCAGCAACCAUGUGAGAUUGGAAGCAGAUUCUUCCGUGCAGUCUUGUGAGAGAUUAUGAAGCAAAGGACUCAAGUUGUGCCCAGAUUCCUGACCCACAGAUACCGUGUGAUAAUAAAUGCAUAUUGUCUUAAACCA
Molecule: long non-coding RNA, 930 nt
Filed under: Homo sapiens (human)
Lineage: Eukaryota; Metazoa; Chordata; Mammalia; Primates; Hominidae
Description: HSALNT0376249
Source: RNAcentral